CGAGAGGGUUACAUGACCUGCUAACUC
RNAcentral lists this transfer RNA (27 nucleotides) under Psammophis schokari Western Sahara form. Its description in RNAcentral is "partial tRNA-Ser". Lineage: Eukaryota; Metazoa; Chordata; Lepidosauria; Squamata. The record is from RNAcentral.